Long non-coding RNA from Salvia miltiorrhiza (redroot sage), 1117 nucleotides. RefSeq lists it as uncharacterized. Lineage: Eukaryota; Viridiplantae; Streptophyta; Magnoliopsida; Lamiales; Lamiaceae. The record is from RefSeq and is a predicted model, not a curated record. The transcript is spliced from 6 exons.
CCCUACGGCCGCAGUGGCUCAAGACCACGGCCAUGUCGUCCGCCACCGCGCCGCGCCGGCACCCUCCGCAUCUCCCCCCUCCCGUCUCCACACAAGCUCUCCUUUCCCCCGACCAUAGCCAUGGCACAGCCGCCGCCAAUGGCUGCCCGAGCCUGUCACCACCGCCGUCAAUGGGUGUCUCGCACAUUUGGACUAAAGGCGCAAAUUUCUCAGUUUCCUCGAAUUUCUCAAGAUAGGGGAUUCAAUGAUUGCUUGAUUCUGGAGGGAAAUUAGGGUUGAUAAGAUAGUGAGGAAAGGGAAAAAAAAGAUGGGUUAUUUCAAGCAGGCGCUAAGAAGCAUCGAUGCGUCGCACUCCAGCCCUCACUGCCUCGCCCCGACCUGUCCCCUUCAAUAAGUCGGCGCCGCCGCCCCUCAGUCCGCCGCUAUCCCCAGCAGAUACGUCAGCCACGGAAAUCGUUUCCAGUUUUCAGUGAAUCCAUCUGCCCUGGCUUGCAAUGACUCUGAGCGACGUGGUACGGUAUUUUGAAAAUAGUUGUUGCUCGCUGCCUAUGGCUCAUGACCAACUAUUGUUGAGAAAAAUAAAUUGAUAACUCAGCUGGGUUGGUUCUUUGGAGUUCGUAUAUGAUUUCAGUUCUUGGUGAAAUGAAGUAUGGGAUGAAAAUGCAAGUCUCUCAUUCUGUACAAACUUUUUCCAUAUUCUUAUUAAUUUAUUAUGGGUGCAUGCCCUAUUAAAUUGGAUUUCAAUAUUUUCUUCAUGUAUAAUUCUGUUGCCUGUAUUUCAGUUUAGAGUUUCCAUCGCAUAAGCUGUUAUAAGACGUGCUUUUCCUUAAACAGCUAUGAGUUACAGGAAGAUCAUUCCUUAUUAGGGGAAGAUGAAUUCGAGUAUGACCCUGAUCUGGUCAAGGUUCAAAUUAAGUCAUGUCUCGAGUUUUGGCUGGGCAAUAGAGAAGCCAGUUACCCUCCUAUGGAGGAGCUCUGGAAAUGCAAGUUCUGCAAGUUUGCCUCUGUAUGUCCAAUUAACUUAGACCCAGAUGAUUCUCCAAGCAAAACGAAAAGUGAAGACAUUCCUUCGCCUGAUCCGACUCCUAAGUAAGCCAUUCUUCAUACUCGGCUUCUC